Molecule: long non-coding RNA, 150 nt
Organism: Phyllostomus discolor (pale spear-nosed bat)
Lineage: Eukaryota; Metazoa; Chordata; Mammalia; Chiroptera; Phyllostomidae
Exons: 3
Source: RefSeq, a predicted model, not a curated record
AAAAGUCUCUGUUAACAGCUUGGGUGGGCCAGUAAGUUGGAUGGGAUGGAGUCUCUAUAGAUAUCCAGAGAGGGGCAAACAGUGUUAGCCAGGUUGAUGGAGUCUCAGAUAUGGCACCAGCCUGCCAGGUCUGUGGCUCUGUUGGGGGAG